RNAcentral lists this ribosomal RNA (492 nucleotides) under uncultured bacterium. RNAcentral's name for it is "partial 16S ribosomal RNA". It matches the Rfam family "Bacterial small subunit ribosomal RNA", at positions 29 to 507 of the family's 1533-position model. The record is from RNAcentral.
AGUGAACGCUGGCGGUAGGCCUAACACAUGCAAGUCGAACGGCAGCACAGUAAGAGCUUGCUCUUACGGGUGGCGAGUGGCGGACGGGUGAGGAAUACAUCGGAAUCUACUUUUUCGUGGGGGAUAACGUAGGGAAACUUACGCUAAUACCGCAUACGACCUACGGGUGAAAGCAGGGGAUCUUCUGACCUUGCGCGAUUGAAUGAGCCGAUGUCGGAUUAGCUAGUUGGCGGGGUAAAGGCCCACCAAGGCGACGAUCCGUAGCUGGUCUGAGAGGAUGAUCAGCCACACUGGAACUGAGACACGGUCCAGACUCCUACGGGAGGCAGCAGUGGGGAAUAUUGGACAAUGGGCGCAAGCCUGAUCCAGCCAUACCGCGUGGGUGAAGAAGGACUUCGGGUUGUAAAGCCCUUUUGUUGGGAAAGAAAAGCAGCAGGUUAAUACCCCGCUGUUCUGACGGUACCAAAAGAAUAAGCACCGGCUAACUUCGUG